UCCCGGAGGAGAGGAACUCUUGAGGGGGUAAAAGAGCUCUGCAGAGUGUAGAGGAGCCGGACUUUGCAGCCAGGCUAUCGUCAAGAUUGAAUUAGAUCGUGCAUGGAGAGCAUCAAAUUUAUUGCCUGAUCUCUAGCAAGUGUUCAAAAAAUGCAUACUAUUGUUCUUACCAUCUUAAUUUGGAUACUAGGUGGUAAGUGAUGGGCUUGAGAUGUGAGUCCUGGAACGUCUAAUUCUUCAUCCAGGAUCUUUUCAGUGCGUCGUGCUUCCUCUUACACAGAACCUCUCUGCCUGGUAAUGGCUAUUGCACAUGUUUCUCCUGCUGGGACCACUUUCUUCACAUUAGCUGGUGUGCUGUAGAAUAUGUCUACAGAUUCUUCAAUUCUGCUCCCUUUAAGAGGUGGAGCUUAAUUUUUCUUCAUUUGAAUAUGGCUUGAAAUUAGCAACUCACUUUCGACAAAUAGAACGUAGUGGAAGAGACGUUUGACUUCUGAGACGAGGCCAUAAAGGCAUUGAGGCUUCCCUUUUGCUCACUCUCUCUUGGAUCAUUUGCUCUGGGGGAAGCCAGCUGUCAUGUCAUAAAGGUCCUCAAGCAGCCUUAUGGAGAGGCCCUGGUGGUGAGGAUAACCAGUGAGAAACCGUCAGCAGGCACGUGAGUGAGCCACCUUGACUCUCCAGUCCCAGUCAAGCCUUUGGAUGACAGCAGCCCUGACCAAUAUCUUGACAUCAACCGGGUGGGAGACCCUGAGCCAGAAUCAUCCAGCUAAGCUGCUCUCAAAUUCCUGACCCAUGGAGACUAUGGGAUGAUACAUGUUUGUCAUUUUAAGCUGCUAAACUUUGGGGAUAAUUUGUUAUGCAGCAACAGAUAACUAAUACAGAUUCUAUAUCAUACAGAUAUAGAAUUUAAGGCAUUAUAGAUUAUAGAAUUUAAAGCAUUACUCCAGGAACUUGUGUGAGCUCCAGACAGCAUUCAGUGUUCUCUUACAGGAUGCCCUGGUUCUGCCUGUAGCUACUCCAGCUGUCCUUGUUCCUGCUGAAGUUAGUUCUCUUUUUCAGAGGAUGAGGGUGUAAAUCCAGCUCUUAAGCAUCUGCAGGUGAGUGGCACUUUGCCUUGUUGUCCGGUAGCUAAACCAGAAGGUUCACAUUUUAAGCAAUCUUGAAGAGCUGUACUUGGAGUAAUUGCUGGGAAGUCCAAUUAAGAGCAGAGCCUGAGUGAAAGAAGCUUGCCAAAUCUCACUUAGGCUACUGAUGUUUGAGACAGAUGACAGACCCAGGAACUUGUUAAUGCAACCCAUUUAUAGAUCCUCCACAUUCUAUCCCCAUAUGAAAUUGUAUUAUAAGAAAUCAAAGUACCUGGGAACAUGUUAUAUCAUACUCACAGGUGUCUCCUUUUAAAACAGUGUUUCUGUCACUUCCAA
Molecule: long non-coding RNA, 1418 nt
Filed under: Macaca mulatta (Rhesus monkey)
Lineage: Eukaryota; Metazoa; Chordata; Mammalia; Primates; Cercopithecidae
Description: lncRNA (ENSMMUG00000052587.1)
Source: RNAcentral